CGGAGGGUGCAAGCGUUAUCCGGAUUUACUGGGUUUAAAGGGUGUGUAGGCGGGCAUUUAAGUCAGCGGUGAAAUCUCCGGGCUCAACCUGGAAACUGCCAUUGAUACUAUUUGUCUUGAAUUCUGUUGAGGUUGGCGGAAUAUGUCAUGUAGCGGUGAAAUGCAUAGAUAUGACAUAGAACUCCGAUUGCGAAGGCAGCUAACUAAGCAGACAUUGACGCUGAGGCACGAAAGCGUGGGGAUCAAACAGGAUUAGAUACCCUGGUAGUCCACGCCCUAAACGAUGAUUACUCGACAUACGCGAUACACAGUGUGUGUCUGAGCGAAAGCAUUAAGUAAUCCACCUGGGAAGUACGACCGCAAGGUUG
RNAcentral lists this ribosomal RNA (368 nucleotides) under uncultured organism. RNAcentral describes it as "bacterial SSU rRNA". It matches the Rfam family "Bacterial small subunit ribosomal RNA", at positions 526 to 896 of the family's 1533-position model. The record is from RNAcentral.